RNAcentral lists this ribosomal RNA (253 nucleotides) under uncultured bacterium. RNAcentral describes it as "partial 16S ribosomal RNA". It matches the Rfam family "Bacterial small subunit ribosomal RNA", at positions 524 to 776 of the family's 1533-position model. The record is from RNAcentral.
UACGAAGGGGGCUAGCGUUGCUCGGAAUUACUGGGCGUAAAGGGCGCGUAGGCGGAUAGUCUAGUCAGAGGUGAAAGCCCAGGGCUCAACCUUGGAACUGCCUUUGAUACUGGCUAUCUUGAGUUCGGGAGAGGUGAGUGGAAUGCCGAGUGUAGAGGUGAAAUUCGUAGAUAUUCGGCGGAACACCAGUGGCGAAGGCGACUCACUGGCCCGAUACUGACGCUGAGGCGCGAAAGCGUGGGGAGCAAACAGG